UUCAGCUCUGGUGAUAGAUUUGGAUGUCU
Molecule: non-coding RNA, 29 nt
Filed under: Rattus norvegicus (Norway rat)
Lineage: Eukaryota; Metazoa; Chordata; Mammalia; Rodentia; Muridae
Source: RNAcentral